GCUGGGUGGAUCAGUGGCGAACGGGUGAGUAACACGUGAGCAACCUGCCCCCUACUUCGGGAUAAGCCUUGGAAACGAGGUCUAAUACCGGAUAUGAGCACUUACCGCAUGGUGGGUGUUGGAAAGUUUUUCGGUGGGGGAUGGGCUCGCGGCCUAUCAGCUUGUUGGUGGGGUAAUGGCCUACCAAGGCGUCGACGGGUAGCCGGCCUGAGAGGGCGACCGGCCACACUGGGACUGAGACACGGCCCAGACUCCUACGGGAGGCAGCAGUGGGGAAUAUUGCACAAUGGGCGAAAGCCUGAUGCAGCGACGCCACGUGAGGGAUGACGGCCUUCGGGUUGUAAACCUCUUUCAGCAGGGAAGAAGCGAAAGUGACGGUACCUGCAGAAGAAGCGCCGGCUAACUACGUGCCAGCAGCCGCGGUAAUACGUAGGGCGCAAGCGUUGUCCGGAAUUAUUGGGCGUAAAGAGCUCGUAGGCGGUCUGUCGCGUCUGGUGUGAAAUCCCAUGGCUCAACUGUGGGCUUGCAUCGGGUACGGGCAGACUAGAGUG
RNAcentral lists this ribosomal RNA (551 nucleotides) under Promicromonospora sp. RNAcentral's name for it is "bacterial SSU rRNA". It matches the Rfam family "Bacterial small subunit ribosomal RNA", at positions 82 to 648 of the family's 1533-position model. The record is from RNAcentral. Lineage: Bacteria; Bacillati; Actinomycetota; Actinomycetes; Micrococcales; Promicromonosporaceae.